UGAGGAAUCUUCCACAAUGGGCGAAAGCCUGAUGGAGCAACGCCGCGUGCAGGAUGAAGGCCUUCGGGUCGUAAACUGCUUUUAUAAGUGAAGAAUUUGACGGUAGCUUAUGAAUAAGCACCGGCUAACUACGUGCCAGCAGCCGCGGUCAUACGUAGGGUGCAAGCAUUAUUCGGAGUGACUGGGCGUAAAGAGUUGCGUAGGUGGCUAUAUAAGUGAAAAGUGAAAUCUGGUGGCUCAACCACACAGACUAUUUUUCAAACUGUAUAGCUCGAGAGUAGCAGAGGUAACUGGAAUUUCUAGUGUAGGAGUGAAAUCCGUAGAUAUUAGAAGGAACACCAAUGGCGUAGGCAGGUUACUGGGCUAUUUCUGACACUGAGGCACGAAAGCGUGGGGAGCGAACCGG
RNAcentral lists this ribosomal RNA (406 nucleotides) under uncultured bacterium. RNAcentral's name for it is "bacterial SSU rRNA". It matches the Rfam family "Bacterial small subunit ribosomal RNA", at positions 355 to 776 of the family's 1533-position model. The record is from RNAcentral.